RNAcentral lists this transfer RNA (228 nucleotides) under Pneumocystis jirovecii. Its description in RNAcentral is "tRNA-Pseudo(TTA)". The record is from RNAcentral. Lineage: Eukaryota; Fungi; Ascomycota; Pneumocystomycetes; Pneumocystales; Pneumocystaceae.
GUAAGAGUAUAUAAGUAUAUAAUUAAUAUUUAAUAUUUUCAGAUAUAUUUGUUUGAAAUUUUAAUUUUCAAAAAUAAAAAUAUUAAAUGUAUUAAUUAUUUAAAAAAUUUUUAUCUUUAUAAAUAUUUUAUAAAUUUUAUUAUAUUUCUUUAAUUAUGAAUUUAAAUUGAACAAAUUAUAUUCGUAAUCAGUUAAAUUUUUAUUUUUUUUAAAAUAAAAAUACUUACU